Molecule: ribosomal RNA, 497 nt
Filed under: uncultured bacterium
Lineage: Bacteria
Description: partial 16S ribosomal RNA
Rfam family: Bacterial small subunit ribosomal RNA
Source: RNAcentral
GAUGAACGCUGGCGGCGUGCCUAAUACAUGCAAGUCGAGCGAACAGACGAGGAGCUUGCUCCUCUGAUGUUAGCGGCGGACGGGUGAGUAACACGUGGAUAACCUACCUAUAAGACUGGGAUAACUUCGGGAAACCGGAGCUAAUACCGGAUAACAUGUUGAACCGCAUGGUUCAACAGUGAAAGACGGUCUUGCUGUCACUUAUAGAUGGAUCCGCGCCGCAUUAGCUAGUUGGUAAGGUAACGGCUUACCAAGGCAACGAUGCGUAGCCGACCUGAGAGGGUGAUCGGCCACACGGGAACUGAGACACGGUCCAGACUCCUACGGGAGGGAGCAGUAGGGAAUCUUCCGCAAUGGGCGAAAGCCUGACGGAGCAACGCCGCGUGAGUGAAGAAGGUCUUCGGAUCGUAAAACUCUGUUAUUAGGGAAGAACAAAUGUGUAAGUAACUAUGCACGUCUUGACGGUACCUAAUCAGAAAGCCACGGCUAACUACGUG